This 230-nucleotide long non-coding RNA is filed under the name Elaeis guineensis (African oil palm). RNAcentral describes it as "long non-coding RNA (EGUI_LNC037976)". The record is from RNAcentral. Lineage: Eukaryota; Viridiplantae; Streptophyta; Magnoliopsida; Arecales; Arecaceae.
GACCAAAUUAUAUUUCUAUCAGAGCUCGACUUGAAAUAUUUUUUUCUAUUUCGGAUCAAACUUAAGUCUAAAAAAAUUUUAAACUUUAAGACUCGAGCCCAAUCUGAAUCCAACCAAGCUAGUCCCAAUUAUUUAUUUGAUCCAACUAUUAGGUUGGCCCGAAUUUAAAACCUCCAUGUGUAACAUAAAAUAUUUUAAUUCGUAACCAGUAAUUCUAUCAACCCACCCAU